RNAcentral lists this ribosomal RNA (450 nucleotides) under uncultured bacterium. Its description in RNAcentral is "partial 16S ribosomal RNA". It matches the Rfam family "Bacterial small subunit ribosomal RNA", at positions 354 to 796 of the family's 1533-position model. The record is from RNAcentral.
GUGGGGAAUUUUGGACAAUGGGCGCAAGCCUGAUCCAGCCAUUCCGCGUGCAGGAUGAAGGCCUUCGGGUUGUAAACUGCUUUUGUACGGAACGAAAAGGUUCUCUCUAAUACAGGGGGCUGAUGACGGUACCGUAAGAAUAAGCACCGGCUAACUACGUGCCAGCAGCCGCGGUAAUACGUAGGGUGCAAGCGUUAAUCGGAAUUACUGGGCGUAAAGCGUGCGCAGGCGGUGAUGUAAGACAGAUGUGAAAUCCCCGGGCUCAACCUGGGAACUGCAUUUGUGACUGCAUUGCUGGAGUGCGGCAGAGGGGGAUGGAAUUCCGCGUGUAGCAGUGAAAUGCGUAGAUAUGCGGAGGAACACCGAUGGCGAAGGCAAUCCCCUGGGCCUGCACUGACGCUCAUGCACGAAAGCGUGGGGAGCAAACAGGAUUAGAUACCCCUGUAGUCC